GCACUAGUGGUCUAGUGGUAGAAUUGUACCCUGCCACGGUACAGACUUGGGUUUGAUUCCCGAUUGGUGCG
This 71-nucleotide transfer RNA is filed under the name Ipomoea nil (Japanese morning glory). It matches the Rfam family "tRNA". From Rfam's summary of the family: Transfer RNA (tRNA) molecules are approximately 80 nucleotides in length. Their secondary structure includes four short double-helical elements and three loops (D, anti-codon, and T loops). Lineage: Eukaryota; Viridiplantae; Streptophyta; Magnoliopsida; Solanales; Convolvulaceae. The record is from Rfam by way of RNAcentral.